AUACCUUUCUCGGCCUUUUGGAUAAGAUCAAGUGUAGUAUUUGUUCUUAUAGUUUAAUAUCUGAUACGUGAACCUACGGGUUCAUGAGAUAUUAAGUUUUUCUUAUGGGAGAGAAUUUAUCUGUGUAGCUCGCUACAUGGAUGGUUUUCAUGCGCCGGCCAAGCGUUGCACUAGUGCUUGGAACAGGCGCACCCCAA
Molecule: non-coding RNA, 197 nt
Organism: Triticum urartu
Lineage: Eukaryota; Viridiplantae; Streptophyta; Magnoliopsida; Poales; Poaceae
Source: Rfam